UUUUUUGAGAAUUUGAUCCUGGUUCAGGAUGAACGCUGGCGGCGUGCUUUAGGUAUGCAAGUCGAACGGAUGAGGCCGCAAGGCCAAGUCAGUGGCAGACGGGUGAGUAACGCGUAUGAAUCUACCCUCGAGUGGAAAAUAACUUGUCGAAAGACGGGCUAAUGUUCCAUGGUAUCGCAAGAUUAAAGGAGUUAACUCUCCGCUUGAGGAGGAGCAUGCGUCCUAUCAGCUAGUUGGUAAGGUAAAGGCUUACCAAGGCUAUGACGGGUAUCUGGACUGAGAGGUUGAACAGACACAGGGGCACUGAGACACGGGCUCCACACCUACGGGUGGCAGCAACCAGGAAUAUUGCGCAAUGGGGGAAACCCUGACGCAGCGACGCCGCGUGGAGGAAGACAGCUUUCGGGUUGUAAACUCCUUUUGAUAGUCCCUUCACAGACUAUAGAAUAAGGCCUUACUAACUACGUGCCAGAAGUCUCGGUAAUACGUAGGGGCCAAGCGUUAUCCGGAUUUACUGGGCGUAAAGAGUGUGUAGGCGUCCUUCUAAGUUUUCAUUUAAAUCUCAAGGCUUAACCUUGAAUCUGGUGGAAAUACUGGUUGGAUUGAGGAUUGUUCGGGGUACUAGAACGGUUGGUGUAGCGGUGAAAUGCGUUGAUAUCAACUGGAAUACCAAAGGCGAAGGCAGGUACCUGGAAUUCUCCUGACGCUGAGACACGAAAGCUAGGGUAGCGAAACAGAUUAGAGACCUGUGUAGUCCUAGCCGUAAACUAUGGAUGCUAGAUUCCCCGGAAUCAAGCGUAUAAUGUAAAAAUUUUCUUCGUGUGAUAAUUUUUAAAAAAUUGUACUUUUGAUUUUGGGGAGUCGUAAGCUAACGCGUUAAGCAUCCCGCCUGGGGAGUACGGCCGCAAGGCUAAAACUCAAAGGAAUUGACGGGGACCCGCACAACCAGUGGAGCGUGUGGUUCAAUUUGAGACGAAGCAAAAAACCUCACCA
Molecule: ribosomal RNA, 993 nt
Filed under: Candidatus Levyibacteriota bacterium
Lineage: Bacteria; Candidatus Levyibacteriota
Description: bacterial SSU rRNA
Rfam family: Bacterial small subunit ribosomal RNA
Source: RNAcentral